UUCAAUUCCAGCUGCAAGGUGCUCAGUGUUGUGACAAGCUGUGGGUCCUCAAAGCUGAGUACUGAAGGCUGAUUUCUGCUUCUGUUUUCAAGCCUUUCUGGACCCACUGAGGGAAGACAUUUUGUUGCUUGAAUUCAGAGGAGAAAGACAAGGGUGUUCCAGUGGCCAGCAUCCUCCUUCCUCCUGAUUUUUCAUAACAAGUGGUCAUUUCACACAGAAAUCCUGGGAGGCCCACUGAGAUCCAUCUCCUGGCUUCUCAUCUGCCCACAAGCAUGCAGUUGCAUUUAUCCCCCUGCUUCACACAGACUCAUCAAGCCUCCCCAGGGAGUUUUUAAGCUGCAAGGUGCUCAGUGUUGUGACAAGCUGUGUGUCCUCAAAGCUGAGUACUGAAGGUUGAUUUCUGCUUCUGUUUUCAAGCCUUUCUGGACCCACUGAGGGAAGACAUUUUGUUGCUUGAAUUCAGAGGAGAAAGACAAGGGUGUUCCAGUGGCCAGCAUCCUCCUUCCACCUUAUUUUUCAUAACAAGUGGUCAUUUCACACAGAAAUCCUGGGAGGAGAAAGACAAGGGUGUUCCAGUGGCCAGCAUCCUCCUUCCACCUGAUUUUUCAUAACAAGUGGUCAUUUCACACAGAAAUCCUGGGAGGCCCACUGAGAUCCAUCUCCUGGCUUCUCUUCUGCCCACAAGCAUGCAGUUGCAUUUAUCCCCCUGCUUCACACAGACUCAUCAAGCCUCCCCAGGGAGUUUUUAAGCUGCAAGGUGCUCAGUGUUGUGACAAGCUGUGGGUCCUCAAAGCUGAGUACUGAAGGCUGAUUUCUGCUUCUGUUUUCAAGCCUUUCUGGACCCACUGAGGGAAGACAUUUUGUUGCUUGAAUUCAGAGGUCAACAUUUGUUUGUCUUUUUUCAUACUGACCUUUUUUAAAGGCAGUUUUUUAAAUGACAUUCCUGCACUGCAGUAAAUUUUCUUUUCCUUUCUCAUUAACACUCAUCCCUGUCACAUGCAGACAUUUGAUAUGUGUUAAGUGUACAGUGCACAUUGUGAGUGCUUCUUCUAACUUUUUCUGUCCAAAUUCUCCUAUCUGUGUCAUUAAACUUUAUUUUAAGUG
This 1104-nucleotide long non-coding RNA is filed under the name Mus musculus (house mouse). RNAcentral describes it as "predicted gene 3287". Lineage: Eukaryota; Metazoa; Chordata; Mammalia; Rodentia; Muridae. The record is from RNAcentral.